CACGGUGGUCAGAUCUCCGUC
This 21-nucleotide non-coding RNA is filed under the name Arabidopsis thaliana (thale cress). Lineage: Eukaryota; Viridiplantae; Streptophyta; Magnoliopsida; Brassicales; Brassicaceae. The record is from RNAcentral.